Molecule: ribosomal RNA, 301 nt
Filed under: uncultured bacterium
Lineage: Bacteria
Description: partial 16S ribosomal RNA
Rfam family: Bacterial small subunit ribosomal RNA
Source: RNAcentral
CAGCAGCCACGGGAAUACGUAGGUGGCAAGCGUUGUCCGGAAUUAUUGGGCGUAAAGGGCUCGCAGGCGGUUUCUUAAGUCUGAUGUGAAAGCCCCCGGCUCAACCGGGGAGGGUCAUUGGAAACUGGGAAACUUGAGUGCAGAAGAGGAGAGUGGAAUUCCACGCGUAGCGGUGAAAUGCGUAGAGAUGUGGAGGAACACCAGUGGCGAAGGCGACUCUCUGGUCUGUAACUGACGCUGAGGAGCGAAAGUGUGGGGAGCGAACAGGAUUAGAUACCCCUGUAGUCCCUGUCUCUUAUAC